UUCAAAAAGUUUAAUAUUUGAUAUUUAAAUUUUCAAACAAAAAUACAAUCUUAGAGAAAACAAAUGAAAUUAAAUAAAAAAUAAAACUUCUCUCGAGUCAAUAAUCUAAUUUCUUCUAAAGAAAUUCUAUUCCAUAAUAGAUCUUCUCCCUUUACACUUUCAGCAUGUCGUCAAUAAAAAAUCAUUUUCCCCACAUAGACUGUAUCACAUAGUAAUCACUUUGGGCCAAUGUGUGAUUGCGAUUAUAACCUCUAGAUUAGAAAUUCGCCGCGAACAAGAAUUUCACGACCGUUGUACACCACACAUGUGUAUUACACGCACCGCCGACGAUACUAGCUGUGGCAACGAUGGAAAACGGUGAUCGCAACAGCGGCACGCAAAGUGAGCCGACAAAGGCGUCUUAUCGCGGUUAAUUUAUAUUUCAAAAGGUUACUGGUACCAUCGAAAGAACGUAGAAACUCUCUCGGCGUUAUUCCACAAGAAAUUCUAUCUGUCGAAAGAUUUAUCAAUGCAUCCAAGAUGAUUUUGAGAAUUUUUCUUAUUAUUAAUUUUUUUCAUGAUAGUGUAUACAAGAUGGCGGACACCAUCUGUAAGCGCGGGAAAUUUGAUUUUUAUAGAAGCGUUCAAUAUGAAAAUUUUUGAACAGAUCCAAUCUUGAUAUUCAAUUCCAUCGAACACAAAAUAUCGUGGUGAAACAUGUGCAACGUAUUAACGUUCUUAGGUUAAUCGAUCUCGGUGGAAGAUCGAGGCAAUUAACGCCAGUAUCGCCAAUCGAUGAUGAACAUUCGUCAUCCGAAGACCGGUUUCUAUCGGGUGAUUCACCAUCAUGGAUUCUAUAAAAUCCCACCAACAAUGUUCCUGUCAUGGAUUUUCUUUUACUUUUAUCACCUUUUUUUAAGUCUCGAAGGAUGACCGAAUGCUCAUUAAUAGUAUCCUAGCGAUCCACGCACCGCCAUUUUCUCAAUCAACAAUCGAGAUCAACCUCGAAGCCUUCCCUAACCUCAAACAUCGAUCAAUUCUCGUCAACGUUCCCGCAAAAGGGAACGCAACGCAUGGCACGACUUUUACAAAGUAGGGAUAAGUUCACCACACGCGGAUACACUCUCCACCACGACACUAUUCAAUUUCUCAUUCAGGAUAUCAUGCAUCAUCUUUUGAGCUUAAAAAUUAUCUCUUCGAUCUUCCAGGAUUUCCGUGGCAUGGCGUCUUGCACAAUCUUCUCGAAUCGUCAUAAAUCAUGUCGACGGAUUGCGUGGGCGGCUAUGGAACACGCUCUAACCCCCUUCCAAGUGAUGCAUAGUAACAUUUUACAGGAUUUUUACGCACCGUCACAAUUCAUCCGUUAAUGACACCGACACUGGAAAUCAAAGAAAUGCGAAUAUGUAAUUAUAUUGGUGAAAAUAUAACCAUGUAACGAGAGUACAAAAAAAAAAAAAGGCGAACUCACUCAUUAUGUACACGCAAUCUGGCAUUCCGUGUGUCGAACGUAUAAAGAGCGCCUCUUAAAAGUGUGUUCAGUAUGGACGAAAAAUCUGCUUGAUAAAAUGGACUUACCUGAAACAAAGGAAAAAAAAAAAAAACAUUUAAAAAUAUUAUUGAAAUAUAUAUGUAUAUAUCUAUUUAUUAUAUAUGUAUUCUUUCCUUAAUACGACUUCCUCGAUUGUUAAUAAAAUAAAAAAAUUAUAAUUAAUGUCAAUAGUUCAAUGCAGAUAUAUUGCACCGUGGUUUAUGAACGAAAUUCCUACGUCUCACCUACGAGGGAACUUAAUGAAAGAAAGCAUCAACUCUAUGCGGACGUAGCACACGCCUUUUCGUUAUUUCUCAUAAUCGCCCACGCUUGGCCGCUCGCCAGCCAAGAGACCCUGGUUUCCCGAGAAUCGAAAAUAAUCACGUCUUCCUCCUCCGCCUUUUCCUCUUCCUUUCGUACGCGUGAAUCGUCCGAGGAAAGCGGGAAAGCUAAUUUAAUUAACGAUCCAUUUCGCCACUCUCUAUCUUCGAAUUAUUUUACGCCUUUGAAAUAAUUAAAUUUACGACGAAAGAAUACGAUUCUCCUGUGAACGACGAUAGACGAUUUUAAGAAGUGACAGAACUGAUCGUGAAAAUGAUUGGAUCACGGGUUUACUUUGGAAUUAGUAAACCGAGUCAAAUUGAUUGAUUCAAUUUUUUGUAUUUGCAAUUGAAUUACAUAAUUUCGAAAUUAAAAUAUUCAUCCUGUUCAAGAUAAAUAUACGUCUGAAUAUUUUUUAGAAUUAAUAAGUGUGUGAACAUAUAUGAUUUAUAGUCAGAUAUUACCCUUCUCUAUUAGUUUUUUUUUUUUUUCUAAUAUGUGAUAAUAGUCAACAGGAAAUGAAACAGGAAAAGAAAAAACGAAGAUCUUAUCGUACCGUGAAACGUAUCGCAAUAUACGAUCAUAAAUGAUUAUCUAAUAAAAAACGUAAGAGGGAUAAAAACGGUCAAUUACAUGAAACCAUAAUUAACAUGCUAAUGAAUCGAACUUAAUAUAGUAUAUUUAUUUUGAUACAAAAUAUCAAUAUAUUCAUAUAAGAUAUGUUUGCAGAGUCGAGUCUAAAGCCUAAAAUAAACCUAACGGUUAAUAUACAAAAAUAUCAUUUAAGACGUAUUUAUUAAGCAAUUUAAAUUUGCAUUACGAUGAGACGAAACAAAAUGAUAUCGAUCAAAGAUCAUAUCAAUAUCAUCUUAAUCUUUAAUUUCUAUAAGAACAAUUACAACUGAAAUGAUAAAUCACUAAAUAAUCGUUCUUGUUAUACUGUAAAGUAUACCACAAUAAUUCAUAAACUCACUUAAUCUAAUUAAGAUGAUAAAUUUCAUUCCAAACAAGCUUGUCUAUCAGUCGAUCUCUAAAAAUUUUCCAUCGACGACACCAACUAAAUUUGGUGCGCACAAUGUAUCUGCACAUGUAUCAACAGACGUGCGCCGCGAUGCAAAUUUGCAUCUGGUUGCGCAACCGCGCUCUCGGACAUGGUCGCAAAAAUACAGCCAUACUAUAUCGAUCGAUGUGUAAUCGAUGAAUCUAAUAAUGGCCUGAGCCGCGAUUAUUCAAGAUCGACGCCGUGUGUAGCACGCGGUCAGAAUACACUCGUGAAAUCAACGCGGUUGAGAAAAGAUAUAUAUUCCCCUUUACAAACUGGCGAAACGUUUCGUUGGUGGUAGGCGGCCGAGCGUGGGUCUCGGUGGCCUCUCUACCGCGAUUUAAAUAUUUAACUCCGUUUAAACGUGAGCGAGAGCCAACCGUUACUCGCGCGAGCGAUAAUUUUCAUCCGCGGGUAAACUCGCUUGGGAAAAUCGACCGACCGCGUGAAUCAUCCUCCCACCUGAUUUCCAACCUAUCUGAUGAGAAUCAGUGGGAAAAUCUCAUUGGCACUCUUGGUUUUGCAUUUGUUAGGUUAGGUAAUACUAGUUCUCUGCCUAUUUAAUUGGAAUCAUUGGAUUUCUUAUUUUUUUAUUCAUCUAGUGAUUAGAUAAUCAUUUACUUUGUUAUUAUUAUAUUAUCGUUACGAGCGGUAACAGACAAAGUGCGCGAAGCCAAAUUUUACGUUCCAUGGCCUACUGGCAGUGAAUUAAGAAGUAGGAAAAGAAGAUCACAUUUCCAAUUUACCGACGGUAACGAAGAGAAUCAAGAGUCAUACCUCGUAACUCGAAAAGCAAAGAUGAAAAUACACAGAUACGUUGCAAACAACACUGAAUUAAUAUAAAUAAAGAUGUUACAUUCGAAGAUGAAUUUUACGA
Molecule: long non-coding RNA, 3747 nt
Organism: Apis florea (little honeybee)
Lineage: Eukaryota; Metazoa; Arthropoda; Insecta; Hymenoptera; Apidae
Source: RefSeq, a predicted model, not a curated record